This 288-nucleotide ribosomal RNA is filed under the name Triticum aestivum (bread wheat). RNAcentral's name for it is "partial small subunit ribosomal RNA". Lineage: Eukaryota; Viridiplantae; Streptophyta; Magnoliopsida; Poales; Poaceae. The record is from RNAcentral.
AUGUACGCCGGCUCCAACCCCACCUCAGAGAUAAGGAAUUCAGACCUGCGCUUCAGCAUACCACCUAACCGUCUUCUUCAAGUAGUCCAUUCUGGUGGCGAUCUUCUCCUUGCUGAGGAAUGCAACAGACUGCAGAGCGCGCCUGAACAUUCCGGAGCCACGGGGCACACCUAUACCUUCGGCGCACGCAACCAUCUCCAGGACACGCGCUGGUUUGGCAUAAAGUAUCCUCGGCACACGGAUGAAGAGCUUGGCAAUAUCACAAGCACCCAGCCCGCACUCUGCUAG